This 2919-nucleotide ribosomal RNA is filed under the name Bacillus pacificus. RNAcentral's name for it is "23S ribosomal RNA". It matches the Rfam family "Bacterial large subunit ribosomal RNA". The record is from RNAcentral. Lineage: Bacteria; Bacillati; Bacillota; Bacilli; Caryophanales; Bacillaceae.
GGUUAAGUUAGAAAGGGCGCACGGUGGAUGCCUUGACACUAGGAGUCGAUGAAGGACGGGACUAACGCCGAUAUGCUUCGGGGAGCUGUAAGUAAGCUUUGAUCCGAAGAUUUCCGAAUGGGGAAACCCACCAUACGUAAUGGUAUGGUAUCCUUAUCUGAAUACAUAGGGUAAGGAAGACAGACCCAGGGAACUGAAACAUCUAAGUACCUGGAGGAAGAGAAAGCAAAUGCGAUUUCCUGAGUAGCGGCGAGCGAAACGGAACAUAGCCCAAACCAAGAGGCUUGCCUCUUGGGGUUGUAGGACAUUCUAUACGGAGUUACAAAGGAACGAGGUAGACGAAGCGACCUGGAAAGGUCCGUCGUAGAGGGUAACAACCCCGUAGUCGAAACUUCGUUCUCUCUUGAAUGUAUCCUGAGUACGGCGGAACACGUGAAAUUCCGUCGGAAUCUGGGAGGACCAUCUCCCAAGGCUAAAUACUCCCUAGUGAUCGAUAGUGAACCAGUACCGUGAGGGAAAGGUGAAAAGCACCCCGGAAGGGGAGUGAAAGAGAUCCUGAAACCGUGUGCCUACAAAUAGUCAGAGCCCGUUAACGGGUGAUGGCGUGCCUUUUGUAGAAUGAACCGGCGAGUUACGAUCCCGUGCGAGGUUAAGCUGAAGAGGCGGAGCCGCAGCGAAAGCGAGUCUGAAUAGGGCGUUUAGUACGUGGUCGUAGACCCGAAACCAGGUGAUCUACCCAUGUCCAGGGUGAAGUUCAGGUAACACUGAAUGGAGGCCCGAACCCACGCACGUUGAAAAGUGCGGGGAUGAGGUGUGGGUAGCGGAGAAAUUCCAAUCGAACCUGGAGAUAGCUGGUUCUCCCCGAAAUAGCUUUAGGGCUAGCCUUAAGUGUAAGAGUCUUGGAGGUAGAGCACUGAUUGGACUAGGGGUCCUCAUCGGAUUACCGAAUUCAGUCAAACUCCGAAUGCCAAUGACUUAUCCUUAGGAGUCAGACUGCGAGUGAUAAGAUCCGUAGUCAAAAGGAAACAGCCCAGACCGCCAGCUAAGGUCCCAAAGUGUGUAUUAAGUGGAAAAGGAUGUGGAGUUGCUUAGACAACUAGGAUGUUGGCUUAGAAGCAGCCACCAUUUAAAGAGUGCGUAAUAGCUCACUAGUCGAGUGACUCUGCGCCGAAAAUGUACCGGGGCUAAAUACACCACCGAAGCUGCGGAUUGAUACCAAUGGUAUCAGUGGUAGGGGAGCGUUCUAAGGACAGUGAAGUCAGACCGGAAGGACUGGUGGAGUGCUUAGAAGUGAGAAUGCCGGUAUGAGUAGCGAAAGACGGGUGAGAAUCCCGUCCACCGAAUGCCUAAGGUUUCCUGAGGAAGGCUCGUCCGCUCAGGGUUAGUCAGGACCUAAGCCGAGGCCGACAGGCGUAGGCGAUGGACAACAGGUUGAUAUUCCUGUACCACCUCUUUAUCGUUUGAGCAAUGGAGGGACGCAGAAGGAUAGAAGAAGCGUGCGAUUGGUUGUGCACGUCCAAGCAGUUAGGCUGAUAAGUAGGCAAAUCCGCUUAUCGUGAAGGCUGAGCUGUGAUGGGAAGCUCCUUAUGGAGCGAAGUCUUUGAUUCCCCGCUGCCAAGAAAAGCUUCUAGCGAGAUAAAAGGUGCCUGUACCGCAAACCGACACAGGUAGGCGAGGAGAGAAUCCUAAGGUGUGCGAGAGAACUCUGGUUAAGGAACUCGGCAAAAUGACCCCGUAACUUCGGGAGAAGGGGUGCUUUCUUAACGGAAAGCCGCAGUGAAUAGGCCCAAGCGACUGUUUAGCAAAAACACAGCUCUCUGCGAAGCCGUAAGGCGAAGUAUAGGGGGUGACACCUGCCCGGUGCUGGAAGGUUAAGGAGAGGGGUUAGCGUAAGCGAAGCUCUGAACUGAAGCCCCAGUAAACGGCGGCCGUAACUAUAACGGUCCUAAGGUAGCGAAAUUCCUUGUCGGGUAAGUUCCGACCCGCACGAAAGGUGUAACGAUUUGGGCACUGUCUCAACCAGAGACUCGGUGAAAUUAUAGUACCUGUGAAGAUGCAGGUUACCCGCGACAGGACGGAAAGACCCCGUGGAGCUUUACUGUAGCCUGAUAUUGAAUUUUGGUACAGUUUGUACAGGAUAGGCGGGAGCCUUUGAAACCGGAGCGCUAGCUUCGGUGGAGGCGCUGGUGGGAUACCGCCCUGACUGUAUUGAAAUUCUAACCUACGGGUCUUAUCGACCCGGGAGACAGUGUCAGGUGGGCAGUUUGACUGGGGCGGUCGCCUCCUAAAGUGUAACGGAGGCGCCCAAAGGUUCCCUCAGAAUGGUUGGAAAUCAUUCGUAGAGUGCAAAGGCAUAAGGGAGCUUGACUGCGAGACCUACAAGUCGAGCAGGGACGAAAGUCGGGCUUAGUGAUCCGGUGGUUCCGCAUGGAAGGGCCAUCGCUCAACGGAUAAAAGCUACCCCGGGGAUAACAGGCUUAUCUCCCCAAGAGUCCACAUCGACGGGGAGGUUUGGCACCUCGAUGUCGGCUCAUCGCAUCCUGGGGCUGUAGUCGGUCCCAAGGGUUGGGCUGUUCGCCCAUUAAAGCGGUACGCGAGCUGGGUUCAGAACGUCGUGAGACAGUUCGGUCCCUAUCCGUCGUGGGCGUAGGAAAUUUGAGAGGAGCUGUCCUUAGUACGAGAGGACCGGGAUGGACGCACCGCUGGUGUACCAGUUGUUCUGCCAAGGGCAUAGCUGGGUAGCUAUGUGCGGAAGGGAUAAGUGCUGAAAGCAUCUAAGCAUGAAGCCCCCCUCAAGAUGAGAUUUCCCAUAGCGUAAGCUAGUAAGAUCCCUGAAAGAUGAUCAGGUUGAUAGGUUCGAGGUGGAAGCAUGGUGACAUGUGGAGCUGACGAAUACUAAUAGAUCGAGGACUUAACCAU